GACGAACGCUGGCGGCGUGCUUAACACAUGCAAGUCGAACGGAAAGGCCCCAGCUUGCUGGGGUACUCGAGUGGCGAACGGGUGAGUAACACGUGGGUGAUCUGCCCUGCACUCUGGGAUAAGCCUGGGAAACUGGGUCUAAUACCGGAUAGGACCGUGCUUUAGUGUGUGCGGUGGAAAGUUUUUCGGUGCAGGAUGAGCCCGCGGCCUAUCAGCUUGUUGGUGGGGUAAUGGCCUACCAAGGCGGCGACGGGUAGCCGGCCUGAGAGGGUGUACGGCCACAUUGGGACUGAGACACGGCCCAGACUCCUACGGGAGGCAGCAGUGGGGAAUAUUGCACAAUGGGCGCAAGCCUGAUGCAGCGACGCCGCGUGGGGGAUGACGGCCUUCGGGUUGUAAACCCCUUUCGGCAGGGACGAGGCUUUUGUGACGGUACCUGCAUAAGAAGCACCGGCUAACUACGUG
Molecule: ribosomal RNA, 465 nt
Filed under: uncultured bacterium
Lineage: Bacteria
Description: partial 16S ribosomal RNA
Rfam family: Bacterial small subunit ribosomal RNA
Source: RNAcentral